Molecule: transfer RNA, 85 nt
Filed under: Felis catus (domestic cat)
Lineage: Eukaryota; Metazoa; Chordata; Mammalia; Carnivora; Felidae
Also listed under: 2 other names
Rfam family: tRNA
About the family: Transfer RNA (tRNA) molecules are approximately 80 nucleotides in length.
Source: Rfam by way of RNAcentral
GCCUGGGUAGCUCAGUCGGUUAAGUGCCUGACUUCAGCUCAGGUCAUGAUCUCACGGUUUGUGGGUUCGAGCCCUACAUCAGGCU